This is a long non-coding RNA of Cucumis melo (muskmelon), 426 nucleotides long. RefSeq lists it as uncharacterized. The transcript is spliced from 3 exons. Lineage: Eukaryota; Viridiplantae; Streptophyta; Magnoliopsida; Cucurbitales; Cucurbitaceae. The record is from RefSeq and is a predicted model, not a curated record.
UUUUAGAUUGAGACACUUAGUUUAAAAGCUUAUUUGAUUGAAGGAUGUUAUCAACUUAUUCUAAAAGACUUAACAGAUUGCGAGAAAUGCCAAAGAAGGCAAAGAAUAUUUUUUGGUGGCCAUUCACCCAGCAUAAACUUGUGGCAGAUGAAGCUAUUACAGUAAUUGAUUCUCGCUGUGGUGAGACUUCACUGUUUUCAAGGUGUUUUCAGACUAAGCUAGCAAGUGAUAUGGGUUAUGCUGUUGAAAGAUUUGGGCAUGUGAUGUUUCAAGAGAAUGUGUAUGAACCAGCUUAGGAAUGUGCAGAGCUUUUGCUUGUUGGUGUUGGAAAAGAUGAAUUGAGCAUAAUUAGAAGUACAUUGACAUUUGUGUUGAUUGUACGUCUUAUGAUGUCUUUGAUUGGAUCUCUUCUCAGCAUACUUGUGG